Transfer RNA from Apaloderma vittatum (bar-tailed trogon), 73 nucleotides. It matches the Rfam family "tRNA". From Rfam's summary of the family: Transfer RNA (tRNA) molecules are approximately 80 nucleotides in length. The record is from Rfam. Lineage: Eukaryota; Metazoa; Chordata; Aves; Trogoniformes; Trogonidae.
GGCCAGUUAGCUCAGUCAGUUGAGCGUGGCGCUGACAGCACCAAGGUCGCGGGUUUGAUUCCUGUUCGGUCCU